GGGACUGUAUCCAGAGUACCACGAGACACGUGAAACCUUGUGGGAAGCAGGGGGGACCACCCUCCAAGCCAAAAUACUGAUAUCGACCGAUAGCGCAUAGUACCGUGAGGGAAAGGUGAAAAGAACCCCUGGCGGGGAGUGAAAGAGAACCUGAAACCGUAUGUCUACAAACAGUCGAAGUCUGUAUAUAUAUCAGGACGACGGCGUGCCUAUUGAAGAAUGAACCGACGAGUUACUGUUGCUAGCGAGGUUAAGUGGAAAACACGGAGCCGCAGCGAAAGCGAGUCUGAACAGGGCGUUCAGUUAGUAAUAGUAGACCCGAAACCGUAGUGAUCUAUCCAUGGCCAGGUUGAAGCACAGGUAAAAUUGUGUGGAGGACCGAACUCGUGAGCGUUGAAAAGCUUUGGGAUGAGUUGUGGAUAGGGGUGAAAUGCCAAUCGAACACGGAGAUAGCUGGUUCUCCCCGAAAUAGCUUUAGGGCUAGCCUCGAGGUUGAGAGUAUAGGCGGUAGAGCACUGAUCGGGCUAGGGGCCAUACCGGUUACCGAACCUAGUCAAACUACGAAUGGCUAUACUUAUACUCGGGAGUCAGACAGUGAAUGAUAAGGUCCAUUGUCAAGAGGGAAACAGCCCAGAACACCGACUAAGGUCCCAAAUGUUACACUAAGUGGCGAAGGAUGUGGAAUUUCCAAAACAACCAGGAUGUUGGCUUAGAAGCAGCCACCAUUUAAAGAGUGCGUAAUAGCUCACUGGUCGAGAGACUCUGCGCCGAAAAUGUCCGGGGCUAAAGUGUAAAACCGAAGUCGUGUCAUAUGCAGCAAUGUAUAUGGGUAGGGGAGCGUUCUCAUUGGGUUGAAGCAGUACCGUAAGGAGUUGUGGACUGAUGAGAAGUGAGAAUGUCGGUAUGAGUAGCGAAAAGAAUGGUGAGAAUCCAUUCCACCGAAAGCCUAAGGGUUCCUGAGCAACGAUCGUCGUCUCAGGGUAAGUCGGGACCUAAGCCGAGGCGGAAAAGCGUAGGCGAUGGACAACAGGUUGAAAUUCCUGUACCGGUGUGAAUCGUUUGAUCGAUGGAGUGACACAGUAAGGUAGGUCAGCACGCGAUUGGAAGUGCGUGUUUAAGCAUGUAGGUUGAGCUAUAGGCAAAUCCGUAGCUCUAAAAGCUGAGAUGUGAUGACGAGUUACUAGCGAUAGUAACGAAGUGAUUGAUCCUACACUGUCGAGAAAAGCUUCUAGGUAGAGACACAUCGCCCGUACCAAAACCGACACAGGUAGGCGGGGAGAGAAUCCUAAGGUGCGCGGGAAAACCCUCGUUAAGGAACUCGGCAAAAUGCCUCCGUAACUUCGGGAAAAGGAGGACUCAUGUAGUGUGAAGAGCAGCAACGCUUGGAGCAUGAAUGAGUGGCACAAGAGAGGCGCAAGCGACUGUUUACCACAAACACAGGUGCCUGCUAAAGCGAAAGCUGAUGUAUAGGUGCUGACACCUGCCCGGUGCUGGAAGGUUAAGAGGAGGGGUUAGACUUCGGUCGAAGCUCUGAAUUGAAGCCCCAGUAAACGGCGGCCGUAACUAUAACGGUCCUAAGGUAGCGAAAUUCCUUGUCGGGUAAGUUCCGACCCGCACGAAAGGUGUAACGACUUGCGCACUGUCUCAACGAGGGACCCGGUGAAAUUGAAGUACCUGUGAAGAUGCAGGUUACCCGCGACUGGACAGAAAGACCCCAUGGAGCUUUACUGCAACCUAAGAUUGAACUUAGUUAAUGAAUGUACAGGAUAGGUGGGAGACGUAGAACCUAGGACGCCAGUUUUAG
Molecule: ribosomal RNA, 1804 nt
Filed under: Escherichia coli
Lineage: Bacteria; Pseudomonadati; Pseudomonadota; Gammaproteobacteria; Enterobacterales; Enterobacteriaceae
Description: partial 23S ribosomal RNA
Rfam family: Bacterial large subunit ribosomal RNA
Source: RNAcentral